Pontibacillus halophilus is the source of this 129-nucleotide regulatory RNA element. It matches the Rfam family "Ribosomal protein L20 leader". From Rfam's summary of the family: This family is a putative r-protein leader autoregulatory structure found in B. subtilis and other low-GC Gram-positive bacteria. It is located in the 5' untranslated regions of mRNAs encoding initiation factor 3 followed by ribosomal proteins L35 and L20 (infC-rpmI-rplT). The record is from Rfam. Lineage: Bacteria; Bacillati; Bacillota; Bacilli; Caryophanales; Bacillaceae.
UGAGACAAGUAGAAGCACCCGCUUCUCACCUGAUUGACACUUUCUUAGUAGUUGACAGGUCCGCUCAUUAUUAUUUAAUAUGAACGGGACGCGUGUGGGUGCAGUAUGUACCGACACUUUUUUAAUGCA